AGAAGUCUUGGAGGAAACAUUAAUAUCAAUCUAAUGACAUUCCAUAGGAAUAAAAAUCCAAUGGGAUCCAGUUCUUAGCAGUCCCAGCCUAUUCAGAAGUACAAAGUCAAAUACCAUUUGCACAUCACCAAGAGGUACAAUCUGAUGAGUAACAGGAUAUCUGAUCUAAAAGCUUGCCAGGUUUCACAGGCUGUUUGAGUAUCACCAGGGCAGAUCAAGAAGAAAUAUGAAGGCCAGGUUCAUAACAAGCAGUUGCUUCAUUGCAAUUACAGAUUUAAAAAUUUAAUGAAUUUAAAUAAAUGUGUCGAUACAUAUUGAAUGUUGCUUAAACUACACAUCUGUUGAACAAAA
RNAcentral lists this long non-coding RNA (351 nucleotides) under Lytechinus variegatus (green sea urchin). RNAcentral's name for it is "uncharacterized LOC121412180". Lineage: Eukaryota; Metazoa; Echinodermata; Echinoidea; Temnopleuroida; Toxopneustidae. The record is from RNAcentral.